RNAcentral lists this ribosomal RNA (253 nucleotides) under uncultured bacterium. RNAcentral describes it as "partial 16S ribosomal RNA". It matches the Rfam family "Bacterial small subunit ribosomal RNA", at positions 524 to 776 of the family's 1533-position model. The record is from RNAcentral.
UACAGAGGUCCCAAGCGUUGUUCGGAUUCACUGGGCGUAAAGGGCGCGUAGGCGGUCGGGUAAGUCUGAUGUGAAAUCUCCGAGCUUAACUCGGAAAUGGCAUUGGAUACUAUUCGGCUAGAGGGUUUGAGGGGGGACUGGAAUACUCGGUGUAGCAGUGAAAUGCGUAGAUAUCAAGUGGAACACCAGUGGCGAAGGCGAGUCCCUGGAAAACUCCUGACACUGAGGCACGAAAGCUAGGGGAGCAAACAGG